RNAcentral lists this unclassified non-coding RNA (412 nucleotides) under Hevea brasiliensis (rubber tree). Lineage: Eukaryota; Viridiplantae; Streptophyta; Magnoliopsida; Malpighiales; Euphorbiaceae. The record is from RNAcentral.
AUACUUCUUCUAACAAUGGUUGUGACGGUGGUCUCAUGGACUAUGCUUUUGAAUUCGUUAUCAAAAAUGGAGGACUAGACACUGAGGAAGAUUACCCAUAUACUGGCGAGGAUGGAAGAUGUGACCUAACAAGGAAAAAUGCCAAGGUUGUCACCAUUGACGGGUAUGAAGAUGUUCCUGCUAAUGAUGAAAACGCAAUGAAAAAGGCUAUUGCAAGUCAGCCUGUUAGCGUUGCUAUUGAAGCUGGUGGCAAAGACUUCCAGCACUAUAAAUCGGGCAUCUUUACUGGGAAGUGUGGCGCAGCAGUGGACCAUGGUGUGGUUGCAGUGGGAUAUGGUAGCGAAAAUGGCAUGGAUUAUUGGAUUGUGAGGAACUCAUGGGGUGCUUCCUGGGGAGAACACGGCUACCUCAG